Molecule: ribosomal RNA, 1243 nt
Filed under: metagenome
Description: bacterial LSU rRNA
Rfam family: Bacterial large subunit ribosomal RNA
Source: RNAcentral
GACCGUACCGCAAACCGACACUGGUGCGCGAGAUGAGUAUUCUAAGGCGCUUGAGAGAACUCAGGAGAAGGAACUCGGCAAAUUGACACCGUAACUUCGGAAGAAGGUGUGCCCUAUUAGUGUGUAGUGAACAACGAAGCAUGAAUGGGUUGCAAAAAAUCGGUGGCUGCGACUGUUUAUUAAAAACACAGCACUCUGCAAACACGAAAGUGGACGUAUAGGGUGUGACGCCUGCCCGGUGCUGGAAGAUUAAAUGAUGGGGUGCAAGCUCUUGAUUGAAGUCCCAGUAAACGGCGGCCGUAUCUAUAACGGUCCUAAGGUAGCGAAAUUCCUUGUCGGGUAAGUUCCGACCUGCACGAAUGGCGUAACGAUGGCCACACUGUCUCCUCCUGAGACUCAGCGAAGUUGAAAUGUUUGUGAUGAUGCAAUCUCCCCGCGGAAAGACGGAAAGACCCCAUGAACCUUUACUGUAGCUUUGUAUUGGACUUUGAACAGAUCUGUGUAGGAUAGGUGGGAGGCUUUGAAGCAGGGUCGCUAGAUCUUGUGGAGCCAACGUUGAAAUACCACCCUGGUGUGUUUGAGGUUCUAACCUAGGUCCAUUAUCUGGAUCGGGGACAGUGCAUGGUAGGCAGUUUGACUGGGGCGGUCUCCUCCCAAAGCGUAACGGAGGAGUUCGAAGGUACGCUAGUUACGGUCGGACAUCGUGACGAUAGUGCAAUGGCAUAAGCGUGCUUAACUGCGAGACUGACAAGUCGAGCAGAUGCGAAAGCAGGACAUAGUGAUCCGGUGGUUCUGUAUGGAAGGGCCAUCGCUCAACGGAUAAAAGGUACUCUGGGGAUAACAGGCUGAUACCGCCCAAGAGUUCAUAUCGACGGCGGUGUUUGGCACCUCGAUGUCGGCUCAUCUCAUCCUGGGGCUGUAGCCGGUCCCAAGGGUAUGGCUGUUCGCCAUUUAAAGAGGUACGUGAGCUGGGUUUAAAACGUCGUGAGACAGUUUGGUCCCUAUCUUCCGUGGGCGCUGCAGAUUUGAGGAAGCCUGCUCCUAGUACGAGAGGACCGGAGUGGACACACCUCUGGUGUAUCGGUUGUCACGCCAGUGGCAUUGCCGAGUAGCUAAGUGUGGAAGAGAUAACCGCUGAAAGCAUCUAAGCGGGAAACUCGUUUCAAGAUGAGAUCUGCCGGGGCCUUGAGCCCCCUAAAGAGUCGUUCAAGACCAGGACGUUGAUAGGUCAGGUGUGGAAGCG